Molecule: long non-coding RNA, 2825 nt
Organism: Homo sapiens (human)
Lineage: Eukaryota; Metazoa; Chordata; Mammalia; Primates; Hominidae
Gene: PCA3
Product: prostate cancer associated 3
Source: Ensembl
AGUCAACGUUUGAUGGAGACAAAAUGUUGGAGCCUGCUCCUACCGGCAAAUAAACGGACUCAGGGUCUUCACGAAUAUGCAGCACAGCCAGCUGGGAUCCAGGCAGUCUGUUUUUGGUCUCAGCCUGGUUUCCCUCACUUCUUCGAUCAGGAAGUGCAGAAAGCACUAUCUCUGCUGCUCUGCAUCCCAGAGAUUCAUCCUCUGGAGACCCAGCUUCCUCUAUUGUUUCAGCACUCUGGGCAGGUUCUGUGAGAUAAGACAAAUCAAAGGGAGGUGUGUACGGUGCCAGCGACUGCUUCAGAGAAUCUUCCUCCAAAGGAGGGUCACCACCAUACAGGAAGUGUUCAGGCUCUCUCAGUAAAUCUUCAUCGAUAUUCUGGCCCAUUACAUCAUAUUCAAAAUCACCCCACGAGGCUUCAGAUGAGCAGAUAUCUUGCUUCCCUAGGUCCCCAUCAACUGGCGUUUCCGGAUGGCCUUCGGAUAAUGUCAGUUUACUCAUGUCAUCUAUUGUUCCCGUGGAUGUGUUGAGACCUGAGGCAUCGCUGAAACUGUGGUCAAAGGCAGCUUCGCUUAUAUCCAGACAAGUGUCUGAGGCUAGCAAAGCAUCAGGAACCAAGGCAGGAUUCUCUGUGGAUAAAUGUGGAUCACCAUCAAACAAAGCUCUUGCACCAGGCUGACUUUCAGGAGAAAAGCUGUCUGAUAUCCAAGAACCGUCACCUUCUGGAGUUGGCUCUUGUUCUGGAAGACGGAAAGUCCAAGAUCAAGAUCCUGACAUACUCGCUGUCUGAUGAGCACCUGCCUCCUGAUUCAUAGGCUGCCAUCUUUUUGCUGUGUCCUCACGUGACAGAAAAGGUGAGAAAUAAGAAAGGCUGCUGACUUUACCAUCUGAGGCCACACAUCUGCUGAAAUGGAGAUAAUUAACAUCACUAGAAACAGCAAGAUGACAAUAUAAUGUCUAAGUAGUGACAUGUUUUUGCACAUUUCCAGCCCCUUUAAAUAUCCACACACACAGGAAGCACAAAAGGAAGCACAGAGGUAAGUGCUUUAUAAAGCACUCAAUUUCUACUCAGAAAUUUUUGAUGGCCUUAAGUUCCUCUACUCGUUUCUAUCCUUCCUACUCACUGUCCUCCCGGAAUCCACUACCGAUUUUCUAUUUCUUGCCUCGUAUUGUCUGACUGGCUCACUUGGAUUUAUCCUCACGGAGUCUGGAUUUUCUACCCGGGCUCACCUCCGUCCCUCCAUAUUUGUCCUCCACUUUCACAGAUCCCUGGGAGAAAUGCCCGGCCGCCAUCUUGGGUCAUCGAUGAGCCUCGCCCUGUGCCUGGUCCCGCUUGUGAGGGAAGGACAUUAGAAAAUGAAUUGAUGUGUUCCUUAAAGGAUGGGCAGGAAAACAGAUCCUGUUGUGGAUAUUUAUUUGAACGGGAUUACAGAUUUGAAAUGAAGUCACAAAGUGAGCAUUACCAAUGAGAGGAAAACAGACGAGAAAAUCUUGAUGGCUUCACAAGACAUGCAACAAACAAAAUGGAAUACUGUGAUGACAUGAGGCAGCCAAGCUGGGGAGGAGAUAACCACGGGGCAGAGGGUCAGGAUUCUGGCCCUGCUGCCUAAACUGUGCGUUCAUAACCAAAUCAUUUCAUAUUUCUAACCCUCAAAACAAAGCUGUUGUAAUAUCUGAUCUCUACGGUUCCUUCUGGGCCCAACAUUCUCCAUAUAUCCAGCCACACUCAUUUUUAAUAUUUAGUUCCCAGAUCUGUACUGUGACCUUUCUACACUGUAGAAUAACAUUACUCAUUUUGUUCAAAGACCCUUCGUGUUGCUGCCUAAUAUGUAGCUGACUGUUUUUCCUAAGGAGUGUUCUGGCCCAGGGGAUCUGUGAACAGGCUGGGAAGCAUCUCAAGAUCUUUCCAGGGUUAUACUUACUAGCACACAGCAUGAUCAUUACGGAGUGAAUUAUCUAAUCAACAUCAUCCUCAGUGUCUUUGCCCAUACUGAAAUUCAUUUCCCACUUUUGUGCCCAUUCUCAAGACCUCAAAAUGUCAUUCCAUUAAUAUCACAGGAUUAACUUUUUUUUUUAACCUGGAAGAAUUCAAUGUUACAUGCAGCUAUGGGAAUUUAAUUACAUAUUUUGUUUUCCAGUGCAAAGAUGACUAAGUCCUUUAUCCCUCCCCUUUGUUUGAUUUUUUUUCCAGUAUAAAGUUAAAAUGCUUAGCCUUGUACUGAGGCUGUAUACAGCCACAGCCUCUCCCCAUCCCUCCAGCCUUAUCUGUCAUCACCAUCAACCCCUCCCAUGCACCUAAACAAAAUCUAACUUGUAAUUCCUUGAACAUGUCAGGCAUACAUUAUUCCUUCUGCCUGAGAAGCUCUUCCUUGUCUCUUAAAUCUAGAAUGAUGUAAAGUUUUGAAUAAGUUGACUAUCUUACUUCAUGCAAAGAAGGGACACAUAUGAGAUUCAUCAUCACAUGAGACAGCAAAUACUAAAAGUGUAAUUUGAUUAUAAGAGUUUAGAUAAAUAUAUGAAAUGCAAGAGCCACAGAGGGAAUGUUUAUGGGGCACGUUUGUAAGCCUGGGAUGUGAAGCAAAGGCAGGGAACCUCAUAGUAUCUUAUAUAAUAUACUUCAUUUCUCUAUCUCUAUCACAAUAUCCAACAAGCUUUUCACAGAAUUCAUGCAGUGCAAAUCCCCAAAGGUAACCUUUAUCCAUUUCAUGGUGAGUGCGCUUUAGAAUUUUGGCAAAUCAUACUGGUCACUUAUCUCAACUUUGAGAUGUGUUUGUCCUUGUAGUUAAUUGAAAGAAAUAGGGCACUCUUGUGAGCCACUUUAGGGUUC